Marmota monax (woodchuck) is the source of this 433-nucleotide long non-coding RNA. RefSeq lists it as uncharacterized. The record is from RefSeq and is a predicted model, not a curated record. The transcript is spliced from 3 exons. Lineage: Eukaryota; Metazoa; Chordata; Mammalia; Rodentia; Sciuridae.
CGAGGCUAGGCUUGGAGGUGGAACUCCGGGUUCUCUGAUGUCAUCGCCCGGAGCUGCGAGGCGCAAGGAUCUUUAAAAUGAAGCUUCGUUCGCUUGCAGAUAAAUUUGUUUGCAAACCGUCUCACAGUCGAACAUCCUUUCUAUGUGAAGAUGGUGCAGGAGACAAUGUCCUGAGGUAGGACAUACCGUUCUCAGAGUUGGAUAAACUGACGAAGGUGAGCACACCUUGCAAACUGCAUGGAAUGUUCCAGUGCUGGCUCUCAGAUUUCCUCCUCAGCUGCCUUUCCUCCCAGGUACAUCUGCUGAACGAUGAAUGCCACAAACUCGCUUUAUGGAUGGAGUUAAACAGGAGGAACAAUUCCAGAAGUCAAGCCCUUACAAGAAAUCAGAACUAAAAUAAACAAGAAUAAACAUGAACAGUACGCUCUCUGAA